UACAGAGGUGGCAAGCGUUGUUCGGAUUUACUGGGCGUAAAGAGCGCGCAGGCGGUCGUUCAAGUCGCGUGUGAAAGCCCCCGGCUCAACUGGGGAGGGUCACGCGAUACUGAUCGACUCGAAGGCAGGAGAGGGUAGUGGAAUUCCCGGUGUAGUGGUGAAAUGCGUAGAUAUCGAGAGGAACACCUGCGGCGAAGGCGGGUUGCUGGGCUGACACUGACGCUGACAGCGCGAAAGCUAGGGGAGCGAACGGG
This 254-nucleotide ribosomal RNA is filed under the name uncultured bacterium. Its description in RNAcentral is "partial 16S ribosomal RNA". It matches the Rfam family "Bacterial small subunit ribosomal RNA", at positions 524 to 776 of the family's 1533-position model. The record is from RNAcentral.